CCUUACGUGGGGUUGCCAUGCACAGGACGCCGGUAGAGAUAUCGGUUCCCUUGUGGCCUGGGUGCAGGUGGGGCAUGGCUGUCGUCAGCUCGUGUCGUGAGAUGUUGGGGUAAGUCCCGGAACGAGCGCAGUCCUUGUCUGAUGUUGCCAGCGCGUUAUGGCGGGGAUUCGUGAGAGACUGCCGGGGUCAAAUCGGAGGAAGGUGGGGAUGACGUCAAGUCAUCAUGCCCCUUAUGCUCAGGGCUUCACUCAUGCUACAAUGGCCGGUACAAAGGGGUGCGAUGCCGUGAGGCUUAGCGAAUCCUUGAAAGCCGGUCUCAGUUCGGAUCGGGGUGUGCAACUCGUCCCGGUGAAGUCGGAGUCGGUAGUAAUCGCAGGUCAGCACCGCUGCGG
RNAcentral lists this ribosomal RNA (393 nucleotides) under uncultured bacterium. RNAcentral describes it as "bacterial SSU rRNA". It matches the Rfam family "Bacterial small subunit ribosomal RNA", at positions 969 to 1362 of the family's 1533-position model. The record is from RNAcentral.